AACCACGGUUGCAGAAAUGGACGACAACAGCAAAACAGCAUGCGAUAAAUGGACUGACGAGGAGGUUGAAGCUCUUCUAACCGUCUACGCCACAGAGGACAUUCGGAGAGGUUCUGAAGGCUCGCAGCGGAAUAUAAAAAUAUUGGCGAUGAUCAGUUCUCAGUUAGAGAACGCUGAGAUUUAUCACAACGCGAAGCAGCACAUGGAGAAAACUCACACAAGACUACAAAUAAAUUAAGAAGCGCAACAACCAGAGUGGGAUGAAAGGAAAAACCAGAAAAUUCCACCACUCGGACCACCGACCUGCCUACUCAGGCAACGCCGCAGCAAAUGAGCCCUGCGUGGGGCUUCUGGAGGCGAUCAUCUGCAGUGAAAACACCGCAACCUCAGAGGAGUUUGAAGAGACGGAGCCGAACAGCAUCCUGGAUGCUCCUGCUGCCACCAGCACACCUUGCUGCAUCGAUCAGCAACUAAACCAGAAUCGGCGUCAACCACCAUCAGCAGCACCAGCCAGCUGCCAGCACCCUCUGCCCCCCUAGACCUGAAAAAGGGCUGACACUCUUCUGGCUGCUGUGCAGGACAAGCUGUUAGAUGCUGAACAGCAGAGGCAAAGCGAUGCAGCUCCAACAUGCUGCAGGUCUUUCAGGAACCGGCACAAAGAAGGCAGAAGACGGGCAGAGCUGAAGCCAGCAGAGAUCUGUGAUGGAGGGUCUCUGGAUGUACUGGACAGGAUGGCAAGAAAAGCCAAAGUGAUAUGCAUCAUCAUAGCACAUGUAAAUAGUUAUUUCUGCAUUUCUGUAUUCACUAUAAA
Melanotaenia boesemani (Boeseman's rainbowfish) is the source of this 811-nucleotide long non-coding RNA. RefSeq lists it as uncharacterized. The transcript is spliced from 4 exons. Lineage: Eukaryota; Metazoa; Chordata; Actinopteri; Atheriniformes; Melanotaeniidae. The record is from RefSeq and is a predicted model, not a curated record.